RNAcentral lists this ribosomal RNA (471 nucleotides) under Botrytis cinerea. RNAcentral describes it as "eukaryotic LSU rRNA". The stretch from base 118 to 271 matches the Rfam family "5.8S ribosomal RNA". Lineage: Eukaryota; Fungi; Ascomycota; Leotiomycetes; Helotiales; Sclerotiniaceae. The record is from RNAcentral.
CACCCUUGUGUAUUAUUACUUUGUUGCUUUGGCGAGCUGCCUUCGGGCCUUGUAUGCUCGCCAGAGAAUACCAAAACUCUUUUUAUUAAUGUCGUCUGAGUACUAUAUAAUAGUUAAAACUUUCAACAACGGAUCUCUUGGUUCUGGCAUCGAUGAAGAACGCAGCGAAAUGCGAUAAGUAAUGUGAAUUGCAGAAUUCAGUGAAUCAUCGAAUCUUUGAACGCACAUUGCGCCCCUUGGUAUUCCGGGGGGCAUGCCUGUUCGAGCGUCAUUUCAACCCUCAAGCUUAGCUUGGUAUUGAGUCUAUGUCAGUAAUGGCAGGCUCUAAAAUCAGUGGCGGCGCCGCUGGGUCCUGAACGUAGUAAUAUCUCUCGUUACAGGUUCUCGGUGUGCUUCUGCCAAAACCCAAAUUUUUCUAUGGUUGACCUCGGAUCAGGUAGGGAUACCCGCUGAACUUAAGCAUAUCAAUAA